This 63-nucleotide transfer RNA is filed under the name Eurytemora affinis. RNAcentral describes it as "tRNA-Glu". Lineage: Eukaryota; Metazoa; Arthropoda; Copepoda; Calanoida; Temoridae. The record is from RNAcentral.
GUUGUUUUAGUGUAAUUUAACAUAAAGUGUUUUCAUCACUUAGAUAGACUAGUCUUGACAAUU